Molecule: long non-coding RNA, 232 nt
Filed under: Solanum tuberosum (potato)
Lineage: Eukaryota; Viridiplantae; Streptophyta; Magnoliopsida; Solanales; Solanaceae
Description: long non-coding RNA (STUB_LNC000234)
Source: RNAcentral
CUCUAAAUCGACAUCUGGAAUUAUGUUAUCUUCACCGUUACAUUUCGAACAUAUGUGAUCAGGAUAUUUAUGUCCAAUUAAUUUGCAAUAUCUGGUUAGUAACUCUGUCGAAAUAAAUCCUGCCUUUAGUGCUCUCGUCGUAGGUCGUUCUUCUGGCUUAAGUAAUGACAAAAUCCAUCUCUGGACUUCAUCCAUAUCUGCUUUCCUUAGCUCCCUUGAAUUGGAAUAAAUC